This is a long non-coding RNA of Wasmannia auropunctata (little fire ant), 473 nucleotides long. RefSeq lists it as uncharacterized. Lineage: Eukaryota; Metazoa; Arthropoda; Insecta; Hymenoptera; Formicidae. The transcript has 3 exons. The record is from RefSeq and is a predicted model, not a curated record.
CUUAGCGUUGCUAGCAAAUCAUAAACGUACAGACUAAUACAGUUUGAGCUUUAAUAAGCAUUGAGAUGCAACUGUCAUUUCUAUCAUUGGCUUUUGCCAUAAUCUUUAUUGUGGCAAUUAUACACGCACCUGAAGCGGAAGCAGAGGCCAUCUCCGAACCUGGUGUACCUUGUCUGAUAAAUUGCAAAAAAUAAAUUCUUGAAUUUUCCAAACCUUGAAUUUUUAUGUUUAAGGAAUUUACGAAAUGCGUACUCGACAUGGCAAAUGAAAUAGCUGCAUUUUUCAUGGAAUGAAAUUUCGAUGAAAUAACGAAGCAAUUGAAAAAAAUUUUGCAAUAAAAUUGUGACAUUACAAGAAAUGCAUAAAUGUUAUUAUAUAUUUUUUCAAACAAAAAUGUGAAUUAUAUUUGUAUGUCUCUAUUGUAUUCGUUUAUAAUUCGCAAUAAUAAAUAAAUAUAAAGUUUGUCAUCAGCA